CGACCUAACCCGCGUCCCCCCGCCUCCCCAACCUCCCUCCUCCUCCCUCCCUGCUCCACGCGCGCGCUCGCCUCCGGCCAUCUCCGCCGCCAGCCCUCCUCUCCAUCUCCCUCUCCUAUCCAUCUCCCUCCUCCACGCGCCCAGUGCUCGCGCGCUUGUGUCCCGCACCAACCGCAGCCGCCCCGUCGGGGCUCCCAGCCGCCAUGGCCUAGCGCACCCUCGCCAUCGACCUCCCCGACGCUCGAGGUGCAGCAGCGGGGAGCCAGUUCUCGACCUCCAUGGAGGAGAAGGGCCUAGCGGGCUCUUGCAGACAAGAGAGGCUGGGGGUGCUCGUCGGUUGGGCAGAUGGAGGGCAUCCGAGUUUCUUCAAUCGAUCUGGCCAGGGCCACGGCAGCGUACGCGAAGGCUGGAGGUGAACGACCCUCUGGAGCUGCAGAUGUCGACAGAAGAAGAAUUUUGAUGAAGGAUUUGAUAAAGAAGAACAGGUGAAUUCUCUCUCUUGAAUAUAGUCAGGCGGCAUUCAGGUCUCCUACUAAAGCUCCUCGCCGGCGUGGCCACUCUCCCCUCCAACUGCAGGCUGAGACAAAAUAUUGGCAAGCAUUACCAUUAUGAUCCUCCAUCGAUCAUCAUGGUUGAAGGAAAAUGUAUUAGGCAUGGUAUUUUCAAGCUAAGUAUACCAGCAGCCGAUGCUGGACCUCGUGAUGCAUAUAGUUUGCAUAUUUCUAUUCAUCCAAUUCCUUCAUCCAUUUUUCCUUAUUUUUCUGUUCGCUCAUUUAUUCUAGCAUAUUCCUAUCAGUAUUUUUCAGCUGAAGGAUACAUGCUCUGAUUACCAAACGAAUGUGCAGGCAACGCCCAUUUGAUUUCCGUGGACAAAUAUCCUUUUUUGAGCUUAUUAUUCACAAUUUAUAGUAAUAUGCUAUUAUGGGCUUUGCUCCAGCAUGAUAAGGAGGAAAGAACUGCAGGCUGUAUUGUUCGUUGACAUUCAUGAUCAGUUACACACCAAGCCUAUAUUUUUGCUGCUUCUACAUGUUGCUAUGAUGGUCAUUCAGCCCAUUUUCUUAUCGCAUGACCUUGAAAAAGAGCUUAUUUAGUUAAUGAUUUUCACUUACUAAAAUUCAGAGAGCUCUUGCUGGGUAUGGAGCUGUUGAUUACUCAAAACCUGUUGAUGUAUUAGUUUGUUUCAGAGAUCUCUUGGUUUGGCAUACUGGCGCUUUCGCUGAACUCGACAAAGUAGCUUCACAACACAAUGUGUAGUUCAGUGUAGAGUUUUGUAUGAAAUCGUGAAAGCAUUUCAUAUUCCUUAUUUUUUUUCUUUUCAUAUGAUGUUAUGAAAUUGGUUACUAAUUUGCAAGACAUAUGCAUUUUUCAUUAAAAAACUUGUUAAGUGUUGUGGCUGGUUAUAUGCAGCUCCAUCUCUCUCUCUCUCUCUCUCUACGCACUCAUGUUCAGUUGUUAUUUUGGUGUGCAAGAGAGUAGUUAGUUAGAAGCUUACGUUCUUUAUGUUUCUGGAUUUGGUGCAGGUUCGAGGAUGUAAACCUACCUGAUAUAUUCUUCAUGGGGAUUGAGUAUGUUAGUGAUAUAUCUGAGAAUUUUAAUGAUCUAUCUGCUAGCAGCUGCAGGCGGAGUUCAGACUCUGUUUUUGCUACAAAAGAAUCAGGCCACCCCUGAUGCCCAGGCUGAUGCUUCUUCGCUUGAUGCUGAAGAAAGGGAUGACCAGAUUCAGAUGCCCAAGAAAAAGCAGGCGCCGCAUCUUCUCUUAUACCUUUAUCUAUGUACUUUAACUUCGCUUGAUGCGGGCGCGUGUCUGGUGUCCCUGCUAAAAACCGACAGUUACCUAAGAAUUUGCAGCAGUUAAACCCUGAAUUUGCAGCGGUUAAAACCUGAAGCUACUUCUACUUUUCCUAUGAAGGAUCACAACUACACUGAAUACAGCAAACCUGUUCCCAUAUCGUGUGGAAAACUACUUCAUUCUUCUCUAUGUGUUUUCUGAUGCAUUUUUGGUAGUGGGAGUGGGAUAUGGAGAGGGAGAGAGCAUAUCCAAAUGGAAUGGAUGGGAACAUGAUAUUUGCAGAUCUGAGAAAGAAGAGAUAGGACCAAGAAAAAUAGGUUUCUCCAUCCUGUUAAGUUUCCUUGCUUGUUUAGCAUUUGGUGAAAAAUUAUGGGCCAGUGCAUUGGCGCGGCCAGCCUACCUGUGUACAGAAUCUAUGCUUAAAUUUUUUGUAAAAAAUAGUGCUUUCUUGCUUACGGUUCUUGCGAUGGUUUGUGCUGAAAAAUCUAUGAGCUAAUGCAUUUGUGCAAUCAGCCUGCCUGUGUGCGGAAUCUUUGUUUAGAUUUUGUCAAAAAGUUGCUUUUCUGACUAUUUUUCUCAUGGUGGUUUAAUCCCAUAGAUAAAUUGUGUGUGUGUCUAUGAUUGUUGUGUCCGGUCUCUAUCUAUGCAAUCAUCCGAUGCAUGUCUAUGUAGUUAUUUGGAGUAUACUUACUUACAUAUGGGUUAGAUCAGCAGAAUCAAAACCGAAUAUUGUGAUGCUAGAAUUGGUUCAAUGUUGUUCCCUCAUGUGGUAGUGACAUGUUUUGUAACAUUCUAUUCAAAACUAGGCGGGGACGUCUCUUGGUAUGGAAACUUUAUUUUGUACCACUUGCAUUCUGAACUGUAUAACUCCUUUUCUUUUGUAUAUAUUACCAGUAUAUUUUCAGCUUGCACAUAACUGUUGAUUGUCAAAGUAAGAAAUAAAUUAGCAAUAACUGCCAUGAGUUUGAAUUGCCCAUUACAUGUCCAUAGUUUGGAAUUUUACCUAACCUUGAAUAGUUUCCUUAUAUCUCAUUUUCUUUCAUGUGUGUGUAUAUAUAAAAUGCUUAGUUCUUAUUAUUUCACAUGUUUAAGAGAUAAAGGCACAUCCAGGGAAAGGUUUCGAUGUAAUUAUACGUACAUUUAUUUAUGAUGGUUCUUCCAACAUGAUCAGGUCAGAAGAAUUUUUCCUUGUUUUGUUAUGUUUCACACUAUUGUCCAAAUGGAUGUGCCUUAUUUUCCUAAUUAUCUUAUACCCUUAUGCCCAACGCUUCUCACCAAGAUCCGUAAGUGUGACCGAUGAACCAUGUUACAAAGGAAGUAGUCUGACAUCCGUUGAGUAAUUUAACCAUGCAAUUUAUGUUAUGAACAAGUUUUAAAAAUAGUCUUGGUGAAAAGUGUUGUUCUAUAAAUAGCUUUCUUCCAAUUUUUAGUUUUGCUGAUUUUUAAUGUGUCAGUUUUGAUCGAAAUUUUAGUUUGGUUGACGCCACCUUCUGCAUUCCUUUUGUAUACUUAACUGAAAGCAGAACUUGUUAAGUGAGGAUUGGUUACUUGGUCUUAUUUGGGCUCUCAGUAGUGAGUACCUAAACUGAUGCAAUAACAACUUAUUGCAUUCUUCCUAUAAUUCGAUCUGAGCUUAGUGUUUUGCCAGUUUGCAUGUAAAUGCGAUAAAAGAUCUCACUUUAUGAUAUUUGGUAUAUACAAUAUGCUUCAAGUGCAAUAAUGUACAAGUGGAUUUGAGGAUCAAAUGGAGUGAAAGGAAGGCAUGAUUAAAUUUGCAUGCACUUUCUAUUGUUACAGAUCCAACCUAUGUUUGAUAUUGAUCUUGCCUCGCCUCAUGCUAAUCUCUCUUGUAUAACAAGACAUACUUAUUCGAUGAUUUGGCUCCUCUUUACUAAUUUAUUAUUGUUUUUUGCUCAUCUAUAUAUAGGUUAUGAUAUGUCAUUGCCCAGCUUAUGAAAGGAGCUGAUGACUGGGGUACCAUAGCAACGAACUGGACAGAGUUCUUCCAUUUAAAAAACAGAGGAAAGAUACAUGCUUUCUGUCUUCAGACGCAAGGCAAAGAGCGUUCGUCUAAUCAUUCACUCCUGAAGACACCAUCCUAAACCUUUAGUGUCGCCUAUAUAGCUUGCAUUCCAGAAUUCAUGUUUACAGUGCUUUUGUGCCAUGUGUGGUAUGCUCCACAUUGGCUCGUCUUUCCUUGUGUUACCUCUUAGUAUAGGUAUUAUAGAUCGUCAGUCUGACUAUAAGUAUCAAUGAAGAAAGCUUAUCUUUCAUUCUCUUUCAGUCGAAUUAAGGUGCUUACAAAUGCCCUACAAUACCUACAUAAUACAUGAUCCUAAUUGGCUUCUUGCACCAUGGGUGUUACAAGAGUAAAGGUUUAUCUAAUGAGGCCUUGUCGCGGCGCUGCAAGUGUUGCCCCCCUCCUCCCCAAGGGCAAGGUGAAGGAAGGUGCCUGUGUGGUUCUUCUGCAGCUCGCAGCGAGGAUUGCUGUGUCCAACCUGCACAAGAAUGCCAAGAAGUCCUUCUCGGAGACGAUUAAGGACAUGUACCUGCACUACAACAAGAGAUCUGGACUGCUUCUUUGUGGCUUUCAAACUUGAAAUGUUUGUUUGAAAGUUAGUUUAGUUUUUUGUUGUGGAUUCACAGCUUCUCAUGUACCGUCCUCUUAGACCUUUAGAUUUCCAAAGAAACUAAAUGAAGAUAUGGUGGUAUGUUCUUAAUAGUACAACUUAAAGCCUUCCAUGCUUUAUAUUUU
Molecule: long non-coding RNA, 4544 nt
Organism: Aegilops tauschii subsp. strangulata
Lineage: Eukaryota; Viridiplantae; Streptophyta; Magnoliopsida; Poales; Poaceae
Source: RefSeq, a predicted model, not a curated record